This 627-nucleotide ribosomal RNA is filed under the name Triticum aestivum (bread wheat). Its description in RNAcentral is "partial small subunit ribosomal RNA". Lineage: Eukaryota; Viridiplantae; Streptophyta; Magnoliopsida; Poales; Poaceae. The record is from RNAcentral.
CUUCCAUCUGGCCACCGUCUGGUCAUCCAUGACUCAGCCAUGCCCCCCUCGUCGUCCUCGUCUCUGAUGCCGGUUGUUGAUGAAAGGAUGGGGCUAGUACUUCCGGUAGGAGCACUGUCAGCUGUGAUUCAGGCAUGGACCAUUUUCAUGCACAAGAGAGCUCUUCGUCGUGUUGAGAGACAUGUCAUUAGAUAUGCUCCAAUGCUUAUGCGGGAGCAGAAGAGGAUCACCAAUCUGAACUGCAUAUAUAACUACAAUGACACAGAGGCUCUGUGGAUGCUUAGAAUGAAAAGAGCACCAUUUGCCAGACUUGUUCAGACCUUCAGGACCAGGAGGCUGCUAGAAGAUAGCAUCCACACCAGUGUGGAAGAGCAAGUAGCUAUGUUCCUUCAUAUUGCUGGCCAUAACCAGAAGUUCAGGGUUAUCCACAACACGUUCAAGUGGUCAGUGGAGACCAUCUCAAGGUACUUCAAGCAAGUGUUGUAUGCUGUUGGGGAGCUUAGAGGAGAGAUGGUCAAGUCACCAACUGGUCGGACUCCUACCAAGAUCCUCACAAGCCCAAGAUAGUAUCCAUAUUUCAAGGUGAGCACUGCAGUAUGUACUUCGUUGCUUGAUAUGCUUAGAUAG